RNAcentral lists this ribosomal RNA (360 nucleotides) under uncultured bacterium. RNAcentral describes it as "partial 16S ribosomal RNA". It matches the Rfam family "Bacterial small subunit ribosomal RNA", at positions 338 to 690 of the family's 1533-position model. The record is from RNAcentral.
CCUACGGGGGGCAGCAGUGGGGAAUAUUGCGCAAUGGGCGAAAGCCUGACGCAGCGACGCCGCGUGAGGGAUGAAGGUCUUCGGAUCGUAAACCUCUGUCAGCAGGGAAGAACGGGAACUGUGCUAAUCAGCAGUGAAUUGACGGUACCUGCAAAGGAAGCACCGGCUAACUCCGUGCCAGCAGCCGCGGUAAUACGGAGGGUGCGAGCGUUAAUCGGAAUUACUGGGCGUAAAGCUCUCGUAGGCGGGAUGUCAAGUCAAGGGUGAAAUCCCCGCGCCAAAAGUGGGAACUGACUUUGAAACUGGCAAACUGGAGUGUGGGAGAGGAUAGUGGAAAUCCAGGUGUAGGAGUGAAAUCCG